GGGUCGGUGCCCGAGUGGUUAAUGGGGGCGGAUUGUAAAUCCGCUGAUAUAUGUCUACGUAGGUUCAAAUCCUACUCGGCCCA
RNAcentral lists this transfer RNA (83 nucleotides) under Synura uvella. Its description in RNAcentral is "tRNA-Tyr". It matches the Rfam family "tRNA". Rfam says of the family: Transfer RNA (tRNA) molecules are approximately 80 nucleotides in length. Their secondary structure includes four short double-helical elements and three loops (D, anti-codon, and T loops). Lineage: Eukaryota; Synurophyceae; Synurales; Mallomonadaceae. The record is from RNAcentral.